Molecule: ribosomal RNA, 993 nt
Filed under: Triticum aestivum (bread wheat)
Lineage: Eukaryota; Viridiplantae; Streptophyta; Magnoliopsida; Poales; Poaceae
Description: partial small subunit ribosomal RNA
Source: RNAcentral
AUGUCGCGCCUUGGUCUCGGCGAGGAGGCGGGUCGUCGUUUCGUCGGUUGGGCGCCUCAGUGCGGCACCCGGCAUCCUGCUGCUCCGCAGCCGCGUCGAGGAGCUGCUAGACCUGCUCCGUCAUGUGGCGGCGCUCGUCGCCCUCGAGCUUGUCUAGCUUGUGUGCUGCCGCCUGGGCAGCCCGUAUGUUUUCUGCAGGCGUGGCGUAGAUGGGACGAUCUGUCCCGAACAAGCUGGCGAUGUUGCGCCACGCUGCCGGAUCUGGUCAAUGCGGCUAGGCCCACCAGGAGCCGGCGUGCCACCGAUGGCACGGUCCAUCUCACGCUGGUAGGCCUCCGAAAGGCGUCUCAUGCUGGCCAGCCGGUUGGCGCUCUCGACAAGCUGGACGCGGCGUGCCUCCAGCAUCUCGGCGUCGGCGUCUUCCGGGAUGGGCGCAGUCAGGUCUUGCAUCGCCACUUGCAACGGAUCCUGGCCACCUCCGCCAGAGUGCUCGCCGUGGCUGAUGACGAGCACUUCCGUGACGGUGCUGUCGCCGCUGUCCGCGCAAGGAAGCGGCUCGUCGUAGACCACCACGUUGGUGGGGGACGCGUCAAGCGACGCCGUGUCAGAGUCGACAAGCAUCGGGUCGGUGGAGCCAACCGACUCCAAGUCUACAGCUCGCUUGUUGGAGACGUGGAGUUGAUCGAGGAGGCUCACGAGGCGGCUCUCGAGGCCCUCGGUGCCCGCAUCAGACGCGGGCUCGUCGGAGAGGCAAACCUCGCCAACAAGAUCGGCGAGGCAACUCGCCGCACAGGCGACCUCCACGCCGUGCAGCGCGUCGACGCAGACUUCGUCUGGCGUGCCGGGCUGGCUGCGCUCACCAGGAAGGAACAAGGUUUCCGUCCAGAACAGGUUUCCGGAAGACGGUGCACCUCGCCCCACGGUGGGCGCCAAAUGUCGGGGAUUGGGUGUGACAUAUGCCAAUGGAUGGCUUAUCAUGGUGGGAGCGAGUAG